AUCUCACCAUGAAGGAUAUUUAAAAGCAAAAUGACCUGAAGCAGGUGUGAGUAAUCUGUGGAUAGAACAGAGCUCUGCUCCAGGCGCAAGCACUGCUGUAGGUAAAGUGCUGAAGAAGAGGAAGACUACAGGCUAUUUAUCCAUGGCGGCAGCACAGCUUGGGGCAAGGCAGAGCUAAGACGACCCCUCUGUCUUUGUGAAGAUGCCAGAGGAAACCACCAAAGAGUUUCAAGCAAAAACCAAGCUGUUCAUCUUAUCAGGAGAAUCUGGGGAAGAAUCUGAUUCCAAAUUCAUUCAGGGUUUUGCCGAUUUGGAUCCUGGGCGUGGACCUAGCACCACUCAUCAAGCCAUGCUGAGGCAUCAUCCCACGUAGCAGAAACAGAAGGACCUACAACUAGAAAUAUGGCUGUUGUGACAAAGUGCCACAAACUGGAUGGCUGAAACCUACACAAAUUUUAUUCCGUCGCAGUCCGGAGACUAAGAUGUCUCAAAUCAAGAGUGCUUGUCAUCUUGCUCCCACCUCAGCCCACAUUUCCUUCGGCUGAUAACAGUUUCUAUAUUGGUCAUGGGUUAACUAACCUACCGAGUCUUUUUAUCUUCAAAAUUCCGUGAACAUGAAAUAUUACAUUUGAACUGAUUCAUACAACGAGUUGAGGAAGAGUCAACUAAGAGAAACCUAACAUGUUGUAUAGCGUGACAUAGACGCAAUCUUACAAUCUAUCCAACGCAUUUUAAGAAAAAGUGAAGGAGGACCCCUUGGUAUAGAGAUGGGUCUCCUUAGGUCUACUUCUGCUUUUAUCCAGCAUUUUCCUAUGUAUUUCAGUAUAUUCCCCUUUGUAAAAAUUCUAAUUCAGAAAUUAUCUGAACGAUGGCAAUUUUCAUGAAACGCUUUUUCAACACAGAGUUGUUCCCUUUACACAAAAAUGAAAUACAAAUCACCAGUGUUUUUAUUGCUUACAAACAGAAGUUGGACAAAAAUUUGAUACAUCGAUGUAAAGUAUUCUGGUAAUUAAUAUGGAAUUUUGAGGUUCAUAAAAAAUCACUACACUCAACAGAGCUUCAUCACACCACAUAACAGAUUGAUUUUUAAUGUAGUGUAGUCAUUAGUCUCAGUGAGUAGAGAUUACUGACUAUAAUUAGUUUUGGUGACUUAGAAAAAAUAUUAUCUAUGGUGAUUGAUGAUACUCUAGCUGUGCAUAUGAGAGUCAAUAAUUAAAUUGAAUUACAUUCAAAGCAUAGAGGGAUUUUUAUGCCACUUUAUUUG
This 1264-nucleotide long non-coding RNA is filed under the name Equus caballus (horse). RNAcentral describes it as "lncRNA (ENSECAG00000055252.1)". Lineage: Eukaryota; Metazoa; Chordata; Mammalia; Perissodactyla; Equidae. The record is from RNAcentral.